CCUACUCCUACGGGAGGCAGCAGUAGGGAAUCUUCCACAAUGGACGAAAGUCUGAUGGAGCAACGCCGCGUGAGUGAAGAAGGUUUUCGGAUCGUAAAACUCUGUUGUUGGAGAAGAAUGUAUCUGAUAGUAACUGAUCAGGUAGUGACGGUAUCCAACCAGAAAGCCACGGCUAACUACGUGCCAGCAGCCGCGGUAAUUACGCU
Molecule: ribosomal RNA, 206 nt
Filed under: uncultured bacterium
Lineage: Bacteria
Description: partial 16S ribosomal RNA
Rfam family: Bacterial small subunit ribosomal RNA
Source: RNAcentral